GCGGGUUUAGCUCAGUCGGUUAGAGCGCCUGGUUGUGGUCCAGGAGGUCGUGGGUUCAAAUCCCAUAACCCGCC
This 74-nucleotide transfer RNA is filed under the name Enhygromyxa salina. RNAcentral's name for it is "tRNA-His". It matches the Rfam family "tRNA". From Rfam's summary of the family: Transfer RNA (tRNA) molecules are approximately 80 nucleotides in length. The record is from RNAcentral. Lineage: Bacteria; Pseudomonadati; Myxococcota; Nannocystales; Nannocystaceae.